CAGCCGCCGCGGGAAAACGGAGGGUGCAAGCGUUAAUCGGAAUUACUGGGCGUAAAGCGUGCGUAGGCGGUUCGUUAAGUCUGCUGUGAAAGCCCCGGGCUCAACCUGGGAAUGGCAAUGGAUACUGGCGAGCUAGAGUGUGUCAGAGGAUGGUGGAAUUCCCGGUGUAGCGGUGAAAUGCGUAGAGAUCGGGAGGAACAUCAGUGGCGAAGGCGGCCAUCUGGGACAACACUGACGCUGAGGCACGAAAGCGUGGGGAGCAAACAGGAUUAGAUACCCCUGUAGUCCCUGUCUCUUAUAC
RNAcentral lists this ribosomal RNA (301 nucleotides) under uncultured bacterium. RNAcentral describes it as "partial 16S ribosomal RNA". It matches the Rfam family "Bacterial small subunit ribosomal RNA", at positions 509 to 807 of the family's 1533-position model. The record is from RNAcentral.